Long non-coding RNA from Gadus macrocephalus (Pacific cod), 213 nucleotides. RefSeq lists it as uncharacterized. The record is from RefSeq and is a predicted model, not a curated record. The transcript is spliced from 3 exons. NCBI's taxonomy places the organism in Eukaryota, Metazoa, Chordata, Actinopteri, Gadiformes, Gadidae.
AACGGCUCAAGCAUGGCCUGAAUGCCUGUUACCACCUGACGCUUCGACCGGCACCUGCGGCUAAGUGAAGAAACCCAAAACAGAAAGAUUGAUUGAGAGCAGGACAGAAGAGUCCUCCCUGAGGAGUGGCCCCAGUGGAUCCCCAGAUUCCCACAGAAGAUUCAGACAGCGAGAGAGAGGAGCCUCCAACAACGAGUGGCGGCCCAAGUGGAC